AUGAACGCUAGCGGCAGGCCUAAUACAUGCAAGUCGAACGCUCAGUAGCAAUACUGGGAGUGGGGCACGGGUGCGUAACGCGUACACAAUCUACCUCUAAGCGGGGGACACCUCCUGGAAACGGGGAUUAAUACCGCAUAAUAUGCCGAAGUCGCAUGACUUUGGUAUUAAAGCAGCAAUGCACUUAGAGAUGAGUGUGCGUCCCAUUAGGUAGUUGGUGAGGUAACGGCUCACCAAGCCUAUGAUGGGUAGCCGGUCUGAGAGGAUGGUCGGCCACACGGGCACUGAGACACGGGCCCGACUCCUACGGGAGGCAGCAGUAAGGAAUAUUGGUCAAUGGUGGAAACACUGAACCAGCCCAUGCCGCGUGGAGGAAUAAGGUCCUACGGAUUGUAAACUCCUUUUGACGAGGAAGAAAAUGUUAGAUUUAUCUAAUUUUGACGGUACUCGUAGAAUAAGCACCGGCUAACUCCGUG
Molecule: ribosomal RNA, 476 nt
Filed under: uncultured bacterium
Lineage: Bacteria
Description: bacterial SSU rRNA
Rfam family: Bacterial small subunit ribosomal RNA
Source: RNAcentral